UUAAUUAAAGCCAAAAAGAGGCAUAUUAUUGUUAAUAAUAUAAAUGAACUUUAACUUCUAAUUAAA
Molecule: transfer RNA, 66 nt
Filed under: Blasticotoma sp. 'minuta'
Lineage: Eukaryota; Metazoa; Arthropoda; Insecta; Hymenoptera; Blasticotomidae
Description: tRNA-Asn
Source: RNAcentral